This 468-nucleotide ribosomal RNA is filed under the name uncultured bacterium. RNAcentral's name for it is "partial 16S ribosomal RNA". It matches the Rfam family "Bacterial small subunit ribosomal RNA", at positions 28 to 507 of the family's 1533-position model. The record is from RNAcentral.
GACGAACGCUGGCGGCGUGCUUAACACAUGCAAGUCGAACGGAAAGGCCCUGCUUGUGGGGGGUGCUCGAGUGGCGAACGGGUGAGUAACACGUGAGUAACCUGCUGCUCACUUUGGGAUAACUUCAGGAAACUGGGGCUAAUACCGGAUAGGAGCUCCUGCUGCAUGGUGGGGGUUGGAAAGUUUCGGCGGGUGGGGAUGGACUGGCGGCUUAUCAGCUGGUUGGUGGGGUAGGGGCUUACCAAGGCUUUGACGGGUAGCCGGCCUGGGGGGGUGACCGGCAACAUUGGGACUGGGAUCCGGCCCGGCCUCCUCCGGGGGGCAGCAGUGGGGAUUAUUGCACAAUGGGCGGAAGCCUGAUGCAGCAACGCGGCGUGCGGGAUGACGGCCUUCGGGUUGUAACCCGCUUUCGCCUGUGACGAAGCGUGAGUGACGGUAAUGGGUAAAGAAGCACCGGCUAACUACGUG